Long non-coding RNA from Daphnia pulex (common water flea), 845 nucleotides. RefSeq lists it as uncharacterized. The transcript has 4 exons. The record is from RefSeq and is a predicted model, not a curated record. NCBI's taxonomy places the organism in Eukaryota, Metazoa, Arthropoda, Branchiopoda, Diplostraca, Daphniidae.
CUGUUUAUAAGCACACACAGGUUAGGUAUUUUAAUUUAAACCUUAAGUCCUAAAUGAAAAGGAUAUUUGUCGUUUGUUGUUUUAAUAUCUGUUUUGAUUUUUUUUUUUACAAAAAGCCCUUUGCUUGCUAACGCAGAUCAACAACCGCAACAACCGCUAACAAGCUGACAAUGUUAGGGCUUGGACACUGACGACAUCUGGCGGCCAGAUUUGUUUUCAAUUCUGGAGCAUAGGCUAGCCCUUUAGCCCCUACCUUCUUCUUCGUCUGCGUGCGCUUCACACCCUUUUCCUAUCAAUGGAAAGUCCUGAAAUCCCCCACCAGGUGCCACUGCAGUUUAAUAACAACAAUGACUGCCAUGGUUAGUGCACGGUUAGUUGCUGUUUUUCACGUUUCGAUGCAGUAUAAAGGGAACUAUUAAACAUUUCAAAAAGUUUGUUAAGUAGCAUAAUGUGGUAAAGCAGAUUAACAUUAUAGUGAGAUCCUUGUGAAUGGAAAAUAGCAUGAUCAAGGCUGUUCUUCAAUUGCAAAGAAAGAGAAUUAUGAUUGAAACAAAUGCAAAAUAUCCAAUUGGAAUUCUCUUCGUAUUUGUGGUAAUUUUGGAAAAUUGUCUUUCCAGAGAAUAACACCUUAAAAGAAAGAACUGUGGUUGUGAUAAUGUAGCAGUAUUGUGUGAAUCUGUCGCCGCCAUUCCAUAGACUGACCCAUUGGGAUGGUGAAACUGAGGAGAAAACGCUGAAAUUCAAGAUAAUGAUGUAGAUAAAUUAAAAGUGCAUAUCUGGGCUCCCUUCUUUUCUGUGGCCCCGUUUCCCUAACUAACCACUAACCAACGCCCGCCGGUGGUCAC